This 42130-nucleotide long non-coding RNA is filed under the name Malus domestica (apple). RNAcentral's name for it is "long non-coding RNA (MDOM_LNC018550)". The record is from RNAcentral. Lineage: Eukaryota; Viridiplantae; Streptophyta; Magnoliopsida; Rosales; Rosaceae.
GCUUUUUGGCUAAGGUGGUGGUCACUACACAACUUCAUCUUGAAUAUGUGUUAUGCAAAUCAAUAACAUGCUUUGAAUGAAAUGGGCAUGAGUUCUAGCAUUUGGAACUAAAUGAUGAAACGCCUUCUAAGUAGCAACCAAGCAAGGAAUAAUGAGAUCAUGCAACGACUUAGAAAACAAAGAAUGCACAGAUUUUAACUCUCCAAAUAAGCGUUUAGGCUCAAGUCUCACAAGGUUGUAGCGUUAGUUUGAGUUCCUUCCUUCAAGCAUGUUACAAAAACUGAUUUUUUCUUUUAUGAUUGCAUGUGAAUUCAUAAGUUAUAACCACAACUAAACAUAACAAAGAGUAAAUCAAACUUUCAUCCAUGUUAGUCACUUUCUUUAACAGUCAUGCACUUAAAAACCAAAUCCUCAUCAUUGUGUUGGAAGGUACCCUAAGACACAAACAAUCACAAAAACAACUCUUUUUGGGUUUUUUAAAACAAAUUUUUCAAAUUUUUAUGUAAUUUUCGGAUUUUUACUUCAAAACACACUAAAACACAUCAAAACUGCUCAAAAACACUUAAAAACAGCAAGGAACAAGUCUUCAAGUUUAGGGUGAUAAAAUCCCACGAAUUUGCAUCUAAAACACUUAGUUACCCCCCCACACUUAAAUCAAACAUUGUCCUCAAUGUUUCAAGCAUAAAAUCGCACUAAACAACAAGAACACACAAACAGCAACUAAACAACUAAAUAGGCAGAUUAGAAAUAAACAACAAAGGGAAGGGUUUAGGAACGCAAAUCUGGAAUUGGAGUGAUUCCUUGGGCUUCCUUUGUUGAAUUGCAUGGGUUGCCUCCCAAGUAGCGCUUUCUUUAACGUCGUACAGCCGGACGAAAAACCCAUUCAUUCUCCAUUUGUGCCCACGGCACCCAAAGAAAUAUCAUCCACGGUUUGUUCGACAAAGUUCUCAAAAUAUGGCUUCAAACGAUGUCCGUUCACUUGGAAUUCAUGACCUGUUUUGAGACUUUGAAUCUGGAUGGCACCAUAAGAAGAUAUGUUAGUUAACAAACGGUCCAAUCCACUUAGAACGUAACUUACCGGGAAACAACCGUAAACGGGAAUUGAACAAUAGCACUUUCUGCCCAAUUGAGAAUGAUUUCCCACGGAUCAUGUUGUCAUGGAAAGCUUUGGUCUUUUGCUUGUAAAUGCUUGCAUUAUCGUACGCCUCAAGCCGUAUCUCAUCAAGCUCAUUCAAUUGCAAUCUCCUUUGACUUCCUGCUUCCUCGAGGUUCAUGUUAAACUUCUUAAUGGCCCAAAGUGCUUUGUGCUCCAAUUCAACAGGAAGAUGGCACGCCUUGCCAUAGACAAGUCGGAAGGGGGACAUCCCAAUGGGGGUUUUGUACGCCGUACGAUACGCCCAAAGUGCAUCAUCUAACCGUAAGCUCCAAUCCUUCCUUGUUGGCCCAACGGUCUUCUCUAGGAUUUGCUUGAUCUCACGGUUAGAAACCUCGGCUUGCCCAUUAGUUUGAGGAUGGUAAGGUGUAGAAACCUUAUGGGUGACACUGUAUUUCCUCAAUAACGCUUCAAUAGUCCGAUUGCAAAAGUGUGACCCUCCGUCACUAAUGAUCACUCGUGGCAUUCCGAACCUUGCAAAAAUGUUAGUUCUAAUAAAAUCUGCAACCACUUUAGAAUCAUUAGUUCGGGUGGCCUUUGCUUCCACCCACUUCGACACAUAAUCAACCGCAAGCAAAAUAUAUGUAAAACCAUACGAAGAAGGAAAAGGACCCAUAAAAUCAAUACCCCAAACAUCAAAAAUUUCAACAUUUAGGAUAGAAACCUGCGGCAUUUGGUCCCUAGCACUAAUACCACCCAUUCGUUGGCAUUUAUCACAUGUUAAGCAGAAAGUUUUAGCAUCUUUAAAAAUACUAGGCCAAUAAAAUCCACAUUGUAACACCUUAAGGGCUGUGCGUUGUGUACCAAAGUGCCCUCCACAUGCAUAUGUGUGACAAAAACUCAAAAUUGAAUGACAUUCAGAAUCGUGCACACAACGACGUAUAAUCUGAUCGGGGCAAAAUUUCCAUAAGUACGGAUCAUCCCACACAUAAAACCGUGCAUCAUGCCUAAGUUUAUCACGUUGGUGCCUAGUGAACUCACUUGGAAUACGUUUUGACACCAAAAAAUUAACAAUAUCGGCAUACCAAGGUGCACUAACCUUAAUGGACAACAAUUGUUCAUCGGGGAAUGUCUCCAAAAUCGGCACCAACUCCUCAUUAUGCACCAUUCGGCUUAGGUGGUCAGCCACCACGUUCUCACUUCCCUUCUUGUCCCGAAUCUCUAUGUCGAACUCUUGAAGUAAUAAUAUCCAUCGAAUUAGCCGUGGCUUGGCUUCCUUUUUGGUGAGCAAGUACUUCAGAGCUGCAUGAUCAGUGAAAACAAUUACUUUAGUUCCAAUUAAAUAUGAUCGAAAUUUAUCUAAAGCAAAGACAACGGCAAGAAGUUCUUUUUCCGUAGUGGAGUAGUUCAAUUGUGCAUCGUUCAACGUCCGAGAGGCGUAGUAAAUGACAUGCGGCCUCUUGUCCUUUCUUUGUCCUAAAACAGCUCCUAAAGCAUAGUCGGACGCAUCACACAUGAGCUCGAAAGGUAGACUCCAAUCCGGUGGAACAAUGAUGGGUGCCGUGGUCAACAAUUCCUUGAGUUGGUUGAAUGAUGCCAUGCACUCCUUGGUGAAUUCAAACGCCACUUCUUUUUGUAGGAGUCGGCAAAGAGGUUGUGCUAUCUUCGAGAAAUCUUUGAUAAACCUACGAUAAAAUCCUGCAUGGCCAAGAAACGAACGAACCUCUCUAACCGAAGUCGGAGAGGGUAAGUGACGUACAAGAUCUAUUUUCGCCUUAUCAACCUCAAUACCCUUUUCAGAGAUUAUAUGACCUAAAACGAUACCUUGUUUAACCAUAAAAUGACACUUUUCCCAAUUAAGUACAAGGUUCGUUUCAACACAACGUUUUAGGAUCACACUUAGAUUAUGCAAGCAACUAUCAAACGAAUCACCAAAUACGCUAAAAUCAUCCAUAAACACUUCAAUUAUCUUUUCUACAUGAUCAGAAAAUAUGCUCAUCAUACAUCUUUGAAAUGUAGCAGGUGCGUUACAUAAACCAAAAGGCAUGCGACGAUAUGCAAAGGUACCAAAACGGGCAUGUAAAAGUGGUUUUUUUUCUUGGUCCUCGGGUGAAAUGACAAUUUGAUUAUAACCAGAAUAACCAUCAAGAAAACAAUAAAAAGCAUACCCGCUAACCUCUCAAGCAUUUGGUCAAUGAACGGCAAUGGGAAGUGGUCCUUCCUCGUUGUGGUGUUUUUAGCUUCCUAUAGUCAAUGCACACCCUCCAACCGGUUUGAAUCCGUUGAGGGACAAGCUCAUUCUCAGCAUUAGCUACCACCGUCACUCCUGAUUUCUUUGGUACGCACUGAACCGGCGAAACCCACCUACUAUCCGAGAUUGGAUAGAUAACCCCACAAUCUAGAAGCUUUAUGAUCUCCUUUUUCACUACUUCCAUCAUCGGAGGGUUGAGACGGCGUUGAGCCUCUCUAGUUGGUUUGGCCCCCUCCUCAAGAAAUAUGUGAUGCAUACAAGUCGUAGGGCUUAUACCUUUGAUGUCGGCCAAUGUCCAGCCUAGAGCAGAUUUGAACUCCUUCAAAACGCGACGCAACUUCUCCUCCUCUUGUGCCGUGAGGGAAGAGGAAAUGAUGGCAGGUAGUGUUUCCUUUUCUCCCAAGAAAAUGUACUUCAGAUGGCUUGGCAAAGGCUUGAGUUCAAGUAUAGGUGCCUGAAUUAUAGAUGGAAGCAAUUUGUUAGUCGAAAUGGGAAUGGACUCACGGUUAGUAUACUUACCAUCAAGCUUAGGUAAGGACUCAAGGGCAGCCACAACUUCAAGUAAUUCCUCACUAGGGGGCACGGCAUGGGAUGAACCAUGUAUGCCGUGAGCAUGCAUGCAAUCAGCCCCCUUUGUUUUGAGUUCCAUGCCUCGUGUAAUGACUUUUUCAAGCACAUCGUCAUUUAAAUCGUCGAGAUAUCCCUGCGCCAAAGAGUCAAUUAUAUCAAUAGAAAAGCAUGAAUGGUCCUCACUAGGGUAUUUAAUGGAAUCAGAAAGAUUAAAAUUAACAACUUCCCCAUCGAAUUCCAUGGACAAAGUUCCACUAUACACGUCAAUCUUUGUCCGGGCCGUCUUCAUGAAUGGCCUUCCAAGUAGAAUGGGCAACGAAGGAGCAUGGUCCGACUCAUCCAUUUCGAGGACAUAGAAAUCUGCUGGGAAGACUAAAUGAUUAACCUGCACAAGAACAUCUUCCAAAACUCCCUUUGGAUAGGCGUUAGAUCUAUCGGCCAAUUGUAUUAUUACCCCCAUCAUUUUUCAACGCUCCUAAGUUCAUAGAUGCAUAAAUGGAAUAUGGCAUAACAUUUAUAGAAGCACCUAAAUCAAGCAUGGCAGAUUCAAACCUAUUGUUCCCAAUAACACAAGGAAUGGUAAAGCUACCUGGAUCUUUACAUUUGGGAGGUAAUUUGCGUUGCAAGAUGGCGGACACAUUCUCACCUACCUUGACCACUUCCUUGGUCGCCAUCCUCUUCCUCGUGGUACACAACUCCUUCAAGAACUUAGCAUACCUCGGAACUUGCUUGAUUGCAUCUAACAAAGGUAUGUUAACUUGAACUUUCCUAAAGGUUUCAAGGAUAUCCUUUUUCUGCCUCUUCUUUCUUCGUUUGCAUGAACCUACUAGGAAAAGGCACAUUUGAAGGGAAAACAUUAGUAUGAACUGAAUUGGACACAUUCUUACCUUUGUGGGACGAAUUGGGCAGAUUUGGGACAUUAGGGACUUGCGGCAAAGGUGGAACCACCUUUGCCGUGGGGCUGCUUUGAUGCCUCCUCUUCCAUUUCCAAAAGUUCAUCCUCAUUAUGACCUGUUUUUGGUGUAGGACCUGCCCCAACUUCCUUACCACUUCUUAGGGUGAUAGCUUUGGCACUUUCGAAACCUCCCUUCGGAUUUGGAAUGGUGGAACUAGGGAGUUGUCCGGGAUCUCGAAACUUACCUACAAACUCGGCAAUCUGCCCAAUUUGUUUCUCAAGUUGAUCCACCCUUUUAUCUUGGUUUUGCAUAGCCUUAGCUUGAUCUUCCUGCCCAUUAGACAACUUAGUUAGUAUCUUAAGAAGUGCAUCAUUGUCAAGAGACGUACCUGAGGCACUUGGGCCGGAUUGGGCUUGAUUUUGGGGUGGGCCGUAGGUUUUGGGAAAGAACCCCGGGGGUUGUUGCCUAAAGCCUCCUUGGUUCUGAGGUUGCUGGGGAUCCCUCCACUUGAAGUUUGGAUGGUCUCGCCACCCCGGAUUAUACGUGUUGGAGUAUGGAUCAUGCCUUGACUGAUUUUGGCCUUGAAACCCAAUGGCAUUCGCACUCUCCCAUCCGCCAUUCUCAAUCAACUGUGGACAUUUUUCAGAGACAUGUCCUUGGAUGGAACAUACGCCACAUAACAGUUGUUCCUUGCAUUUUCAUGCCCUCGGCCAUCUGAGACACAAGAGAAGUAAGAUUAGCCAAUUGUGAAUGAAGAUCGGAAGUCGAACUUACCUCAUGUACUUGGUGCCGUGGGGGUCCUCUUUGGCCUACACCUUCGUACUGUUGAGCGUUCAACGCUCUAUUAGCAAUCAAGACCUUGGCAGCCAUGGGUGUCUUGUCCACCAAUGCUCCCCCCGCCGAAGCAUCAAGCAUUUGACGUUCUAGAGGUAGGAGACCCUCGUAGAAGUAUUGCAACAGUAACUCCUCCUUCAUCUGAUGCUGUGGACAAGAAGCAACAAGUGAUUUAAACCGUUCAUAAUAUGUAGGAAAAGACUCACCUUCUUCUUGCUGAAUUCCGCUUAUCUUUUUGCGGAGGAGGAUGAUGCGAGAAGUUGGAAAGAACUUCUCCAAGAACGCUCUCUUCAUACUUUCCCACGAUGUGACAGUUCCGGGAGCUAACUCAUAUAACCAAUCCUUGGCUUUAUCCAUCAAAGAGAAUGGAAAAGCCUUCAUCUUCAAGAUAUUUCCGUCAACAUUGACGGGAGUCAUACUAGAGCAAACUACUUCAAAUUCUUUCAAAUGUUUGUUAGGAUCUUCCAUGGACAAGCCAUGGUAUUUAGGAAUAUGAUGAAGUAAACUUGACUUUAAUUCAAACUCAUCUGUCUUACCUUGGGCAGCCAUGGGGUAUUGAAUGCACAAGGGCGCGGCAUUAUCCAAACCCGAGGCGGAAAGCUCCUUGAGUGUACGAUUGUCCAUGGCCAUGCCUUGGACUUCUUCAAAUAUCCCUGCCGUGGCUUCCUCCUCCUCUUGUUGUACGUUUUUCUUCAAGGUCAGAUUCGGAACUGGUUGGAUGAUGCUCUUGCUGGUUCCUAGCUCUCCUUAACUUCCUCUCAAAAUCGUCGUCAAAAUCCAAGAUGUUUGUACGAAUCGGUUGAGAGCUUCUAGUCAUACAUUAGUACCUAAGAAACAAGAAACAAAAAUUAGGUCAGAAACUUAAAUUAAGUCAGAAACAAAGUGAAAUAAAAGAAACGAAAACAAUCCAAGGGAUUAGCAAAAUUGCUAAUCCCCGGCAACGGCGCCAAAAAUUUGAUGCGAAAUAUAUUAAGCACACAAAUUAAACCCUCUUUUUGUCAAAUUGUAGUAAAGAUGUAAGUAGGGAUCGUUCUAGACCGGGGAUUAGGAGGGAUUGCUAAACGCUUGGAAACUGACUUAAACACUCAAAAACAAAGUUAAAAACACUAAACUAGACUCAAAGAAUGCAAAACUAAAAGUUAAAACACUUAAACAAACCUAAAACUUAAAACAGCAACUAGAAGGCUCAAAACUGCCUAAAAACCACUUUCUGGGCAGUUUUGAGCACUUACACUAAUCUGGACGAAAUUGGUUGAAAACUUGAAUCAAAACACCUAGAAACACAAAUCAAAACACUUUCUAACUAAUCUAAGACUUCAAAAUAAAGGGGGAAUAGUUUUGGACAGAAAUUGAAAACAAAACAGAAACUUUAAUUAUCACAGAUUGUAAAAACGAUUUUGGUGAAAAGGAUGGAUAAAAGGCUAGUUAGGAGGUUCUUCUCCACACAUGUCACACUUGCAAACAAAACGAUUUUCAGUUGUUCUUCCGAUAAACUAUGAAUACUCAACGCCCCAAGUUAACCGUGAAUUGCACUAAUUAACCCUCAGUUUUUCCAGAAUUUAUCAAGUUGGAUGAUUGCAUACGACAACUCAAAACAUUCCCUACAAGUUCCCUACAUGAAUUGCAUAAUAGAGAUACAAGCAAGAAUCAUUACGUUUUAUGAAAAACAUAAGCAUUGACGAAGCAUUUGUUACUAUGAAUUGCAUGAAACUUAUGCUAAGAAUUCAUUCAACGCGAUCGUUUUCAAGCGAUCUUCACUACUUGUGAUUAUAAGAUUAUAACUAUUAGGUGAAACUCCCUCAUAAUCUAGCAUCAUAUUCAUGCAUGAAAACUAAGCGUGCACUCUCAAUCAACAUACAUAAAUAAGUAUCAAUCAAAUAGAUGAACGAAUUGAAUCCACAACUUAUGAAAUAACAACUGAAUGUAAUCGAAUCAAAUUGCAAGCAUGUACAUGGUUUCGAAUCACCCCCCAACUAAGGGGGUUUAGUUCCUCAUACUCACAACACAAAGUUUAUUGAAUUGAAACAUCGAAGACAUAAGAAAGAUUACACCCUAAAAUGCCAAGGAAGUCCACUUUGAAAUCUGCACAGAAAGCUCCUCUUUCUUCUUCUCCUUGCUGCGGCAGUGAGGGUUAGGGGGUUUUUGGAUGGUUUUGGAUGAGGGAGAAUGGUGGAAAACUAUCUAGGAUAGGUGUAGGGCACGGCUAGGAAGGUUUGGGGUCAGAAAAUAUGGAGUUGGGUGAAGGUUGGGCUCGGCAAAGGUGAGGGACAGGUUCUGGCGUGAAUGGAGUUUCUGGAUGUGUUUUUUGGUUUUUUAGAAUGGAGUUAGGAUGGUAGGGUGGUGCGGCAAGGUGUGGGAAAGAGUUAUGGAGGUGUGGAAUGGUGUCUAAAGGUGGAGGAUGGUGGCUGGAAUGGAUGAAUGGCUGCGGCAAGGAAGGAAUUUGGGUGAUGGUGGCUGCGGCAAGGUUUGGAAAGGGAUAUGGUUUUUCUGAUUUUUAUGGAGAGGGAAGAAGAUGUGCGGCUAGGGUGUAGAAAUAUAUAUAUAUAGGCACUUAAAAACCCUAGCACUUCAGAUUAGAACAAUGGGCUAGGGUUAAGGUUUGUAAAAUAGGGCUUUUUGGAUGGAAAGGUGCGGCAUAGGCUUAGGGAUUUCCAAUCAGAUUUUUUGCAUGUGAACAAGGCCUAGGUGCGGCUGAAACAAUGGGCUAGGGUUAGGGUUUAGGUACGGCAUAGGUCCAAGAGUUAAGGAUGGGUCAUCCAAAAGCCCAAAACCGAGAAUAGAAACUCACGAAAAUGGAAACCUCCAAGAAUAGAAACUUCCAACUUUAGAAACUUUGGUUGCCAAUUCCGAUUUAGGAAAGAUCAACCCAAAAUGGAAACUUUUAGGCUUAGCUUUCCUACUUCAAGUAGGAAACCUCAAAUCUUCAACUCUUCAAUUUCAUCCCAACCUUGCGUUCCAAGCAUGUCCUUUUUACUUCAAGCUCACUUUCUGCUCCAAAAGCUCCAAACUGCAUCAUUUCAUGUAAUACGUCCGCUAAACCUGAAAACACAAGAAAGUAGCUUAAAAGACUACUUUAACGAAGAAAACAUAACAAAGAUGCAUAAGAACUAGCUAACUAAGGCGCAUAAAUAUGCUCCUAUCAGGUGCUCACACUGGUCUUAUUGAGGAGAAUGUGUAGUUGAAGAAUGAGAAAGCCGGUCACGAAGUGGCGCCUGCUUCUUGUUAGGCCAAUUUCUACAAGCUUGGUUAUGUAAACCAUCUUCAAGGUAGGCCGUCAGAUUAUGAGUUUUUCGAGAAGGACUUUGAGACUUUCUCCAUUUCUCCAGUUGAUCUAAUUAACUUCUCAUUUGAGGCUAUCUUUGGUGGAGCAGUUAAGGGUCAGGCAGUCCAGGCAAGGGCGACUAAGGAUGAGCUGAUGGAAGAUUUGGCUGCUGAAGGCGUGCUUCUCGUAGAGAGCAAAAAAGUCCGCAUAGCUGCUAUAACCGUAUAUUUUGGCUUUAACGGCUGCACGAGCUUUGGCCCCCCAUGGCAUGGUGCAAACUUUUUAACUUAUAGAGUCGGUGGGCAAACACGUGCUUCUCAUAGAAAGUAGAGGAUUCCGCGUAGCUGCUAUAGUCAUACAUUUCAGCUAUUGCGGCUGUACAAACCUUAGCCCUUGCAGGGCAUGUUGAAAUUUUUAACUUAUGGAGCCGACGUCUAGACACGUGCUUCUCGUAGAAAUCAGAUGAGUCCACGUAGCUGCUAUAGUCGUACAUUUCAGCUUUAACAGCUGCACGAACCUUAGCCCUCGCAGGGCAUGUUGAAAUUUUUAACUUAUGGAGCUGGCGGCCAGACACGUGCUUCUCGUAGAAAUCAGAGGAGUCCACGUAGUUGCUAUAGUUGUACAUUUCGGCUUUAGCGGCUGCAAGAGCCUUGGCCUUCCCAAGGCAUAUUGCCAAAUUUUUAACUUAUAUAGCCGGUGGCCGGACACAUGCUUCUUGUAGAAAGCAAAGGAAUCCGUGUAGCUGCUAUAGUUGUAUAUUUAGGCUUUAACUCUUGCAAAACUUAAACAGUAGACCGUCAGCUAGAAGCAUUGCUUUUAAAUAAGCAGACGGGUCCACAUUGCUUUUAAAUAAGCAUGCUUCUUGUCAGCUGUUGGGUCGUCGACUGAGCGCCUUACUUACAGAAGCAGACGACCCGCGUGACCAUUUAGGCGUCGUCCCUGGCUCUCGGAGGCGUUUUAGGCUUAAGAUGUAGGUGAAAUCGUGCCUCAGAGGCCAUAGCCUUUGGAGAUGCUGGUCUCUCAAUACGAAUCUCUAGGGCAGCAAUUGUAACUUGACUCCACAAGUCAUUUAACUAGUAUUGCAACAUUUUAGAGUUGGGUUACGUUCUUGCAGACUUACGCGUUGAGGACGAACCAUCUAGUCAUGUGAAUUCUUUCAUGGGUAGGAAUCCUGUACUUAGCGUCUCUUCUGGUUAGAGACCUGGGCUCCUGCGAAAUUGAAUCCUUCCGUCGGCUAAGUCUUUUUAAGAAAAAGACUAUUAUGGCCAAUUCUGGGAUCAGUCUGGCGUAAGUAGUUGAUGCAUUUAGGGGGAAUUGAGCAAUCGGAAAACCCAUCCACGUCUGGAUAUCCUGAAUCAGUUUACCCUCUCCUGAUGAAAGAGCAUACACCAUGUCUGCAAGGGCAUUAGCGUCUUCUGUUGUCACAUGGGUGGUCAGUUUGUUUAUGCAUUCGGCCUAAGCUUGUGAAUAAUAACUUCAAUCUUUAUUGAAAAUAAAGAAAUGUAUUAACUUUGCUUGUAGGCAAUAAUAACAUAACAACUAAUAGUCGUCAACAUGUGAGGUCUUGUUCGUCAAGCUGCUUGAGUCUUCGAACUUUAUUUGUCUUAAACAAUGUCCAAGGAAUGGUGGGAGGUCACAUGUCGUACUUUCUCAGGUUGUAGGCAUUCCACUGUUUUUCGAUCUCUUUGUCUCUCAUAGUGGUGAGGGUAUAGCUGCCCUUUCCAUUUACUCGGCUGAUUUUGUAUGGACCUUCCCAGAUGGGAGUUAUCUUUUUGGAGCCUUCCUGGUGGACGGUUAUGAAGGCUUUUCUGAGGAAUAAGUCUUCUAGCUGGAAUUAUUGGAUUUCGCCUUCUUGUUGUAGUUGGAGAUGAGCUAUUGCUGAUAAACUGCAAUGCGGGUGAUAACUUUCUCGCGCUCUUCCUCUGCCAAGUCUAGGUUUUUGGCCAUCUCAUUCUCGUUCUGCUCAAAAUUCGGCAGUACGGUGCCAAUACUUGGCUCCAUGAUAUUGGGAGGGAUAAUCGCCUCAGAGCCAUACGCCAAGGAGAAUGGAGUUUUACCGGUUGCUUGUCUCUUGGUGGUGCGAUAUGCCCAUAGAACACCGAUGAGCUCGUUUGGCCAAUUGCCCUUCUUGUCUGAGUGGUACUUCUUGAGGCAGUCGAGAAUGGUCUUGUUAGACGCCUUGGCUUGCCCAUUGCCCUGUGAAUACCGGGGCGUCGACAUGUGCUGCUUGAUGCCAUAUUUUUCGAAAAACUUCGCCAAGUCUUUGCCCACGAAAUGCGGACCAUUGUUUGUGAUGAUUGAGUGAGGGAUGCUGAAGCGGCGAUGAUGUUCUUCCAUAUAAAGUGUUCUAUGUCUGUCUGGGUAGUUGUAGCCAUAGGUUCAGUUUCGACCCAUUUUGUGAAGUAAUCGGUCGCUAUGAUCAUCAUGCCUCUGCCCCUAAUAGCAGGUGGCAUUGGUCUUACCAGGUCAAUCGGCCAUUGCAUGAAUGGCCAAGGGCUCGUCUGCGGGUGAAGUUCGUUAGCAGGUAGUGCUGGCACAUGCUUGAAGCGCGGGCAACUAUCGCACCUUUAUACAUACUUCUUGGCGUUUUGAUGCAUGUUAGCCAGUAGUAGCCAGCGUUAAGAGCCUUUUGUGCUAGAGAGCUACCUCUAGAGUGGUUUCUACAAACGUCUUCGUGGAUUGAGCUAAGAAUCUUCAAGUUAUCGGGGAGGCGAUAGGCAGCGGAGAUGUGGUCUUGAGAAGAAUUUGCGAACGAGCAUGUCGUUCGACAUGUAAUAGUGUGCUGCCUUCAUCUGGAGCUUCUUGGACUCUAGUCUGUCGGUGGGGAGCAUUUCGUUGACUAUGUAGUUGAUGAUGGGAUCUUGCCAACUUAGAGUUAUGUUGAUAUGUGCCACCUGAUAGGAGCAUAUUUAUGCGACUUAGUUAGCUUGUUUCUUGCAUUUAUGUCGUUAGUUCUUACUUAUUAUAGUGUUUUAAGCUAUUUUUGUGUGUUUGUAGGUCCAAAUGACAAAGUUGGCAAGAAAGUGCAUUUUGGAGCAUUUUAGAGCAGUUUUGGGGUGGAAUGGAUAGCUUACAUAUGGAGCACCAGCAAUGGACGAAUUUGAAGACCAAAGAUGUCUAGGAAUGUGCUAAAGAAUUGAAGAAAUACAUUCAAGACAAAGAAGAUAAGGAAUCAGCUAAAAUGAAGGAACAUUAUCCAAAACCUUAUCCAACCUUAUCUUAUCCAAACUAACCUUAUCUUAUCUUAUCCUAUCCGAAUCAUAUUCUACCUUAAUUUCAGUUGCAAGGGGGACUCUUUAUCACAUUAGAAUACCUAAUAUCUCAUUCUAGAAGCCCUGAAACAAUGCAAAUAACCAUAUUCCUUUUCCCUUAAAAAUCUGACGAAUUUAAUCCCUUUCUAAAAGCUUUGUGCUGAAUUUCCUAGUCCUAUUCCUCUAAGAUUGUGUAAUCCUUCUCCUCCACAACCUUUGUGCCAAAACCCUAGCCUAUAAACACAUAAUUUUGACCCCAUUUUCAGAUCACCACCCUCUACCAUAAUUCACACAGCCAUUCACCACAAAUUCGUCCACACACAAAAGCCUUAAGUCAGAAAAUCCCCAUUGUGCCGCAGCUGUGCAAGGAAGGAGAAGAAGGAGCCACCUGGAGCCGUGCUUGCCAUUCAAGACAUGAUGUGAAAUAUUCUAACACACAAAUUAAACCCUUUUAUUGACAAUUGUAGUAAAGAUGUAAGUAGGGAUCGUUUUAGACCGGGGAUUAGGAGGGAUUGCUAAUCUACUUAAAACUGACUCAAAAAUAUAAAACUAAGCUAGAAAACACUUAACUAGACUCAAAGAACUCAAAACAAAUUAAAAAGACUCAAAACAGCACAAAACAAUCAAAUAGACUCAAACUAGACACUAGAAGGUGAUUUGGACGAAAAUUGAUUUUAGUUGACUCAAAACACUUUAAAACACUUAAAACACAAGUUUGGACAAAUUCUAACUAAUUUGACACAAUAAAGUAAAGGGGAUUGGGUGUUUGACGAAUUUAAAGUAAAACAAGUAAACUAGACUUAAACAGAUUUUGGCACGAAAUUGGUGAAUUGGAUGGAUGAUAAGCUAGCUAGAGGGUUAUUCUCCACAUAUGACACACUUGCAUACAAAUCGAUUUCCAGUUGCUUUUCCAAUAAACCAUGAACCUCGACACCCCAGAUUAACCAUGAACAGCACUAAUUAACGCUCAGAUUUUCCUUAAGUCAUUGAAUUGGAUGGAUAAUGCAUCGACAACUCAAAUUAUUCUUCGAAAGUUCACUACAUGAACAUCAUAACAAAGAUACAAUCAAAGAUCAUUAAGCUUUGUGAAAAUCAUAAGCAUUGACAAAGCAUUCGUAACUAUGAUGAGCAUGAUACUCCUACCAGGAAUCUACUUAACACGAUUGUGACUAGCAACCUCCACUACUUAUGAAUAUAAGUUCAUAACUAUUAGGUGAAAUUCCCUUAUAUUCUAACAUCAAAUUCAUGCAUAUGCAAACCAAGUAUGCAUCCUUAAUCUACAAACAAGAAUAAGUUCUGAAUCAAACAGUUAAGUGAUAGACGCAUAUUUAUGCGACUUAGUUAACUAGUUUUCUUGCAUUUACGUUAUUAGUUCUUAGUUAUUUUAGUACUUUAAGCCAUUUUCGUGUGUUUGUAGGUCCAAAGGGCUAAGGUAGCAAGAAAGUGCAUUUUGGUGCAUUUUGGAGCAGUUUUGAGCUUGGAAUGGAUUACAUAUGAUAUGAGCAAGAUGGAUGGACGAAUUUGAAGACAAAAGAGGCUAGGAACAUGCUAAAAAUCUGGUGAAACAAAUACAAGUUGCAAGAAGGGAUAAAUUUCUAGAAGGAUUGGCCAAAACUUCACUCAAAACCAUGCAUACCCCAUAAAAUUCAUCAAUGCCGUGGCCUUCCCUUUGUUUUACUUCCACCAGAUUUUUUAGUGAUGAUGCAAUGCCUAUCUCACUAUGACAUUUGAGUGGAUGAUGUAAUGCUUAACUCACCAUGACAUUUGAGUGGAUGAUGCAAUGCUUAACUCACCAUAACAUGUGAGUGGAUGACUCAAUACCUACCCUCACCAACAAUUCUCCACCUUGCCAUGCCUUACCUACUUCAUUCCACCAGAUUUUUGCAUUAAACAUGUCCAUCCUCUUCCUAUAAAUACCAUGGCAGCAACCUCAUUCAAAUCAUCCAGAAAUUAACCAUUCUCCAAGCCUUUCCUUGCCUCUCCUACAUAUCUAAACCCCUUCCCAUCCAUUCCUCCAAAUAACCAACCCUUCAACAUCAUUCCAACCUUGUUGUGGCGGCAAGGAGAAGGAGAAAAGUCCUUGGACGCGCUUGCUAUCCAACAUGGAUCGUUGGAACGUUUAGGUGCUUUCUUCCCUUUGUUUUUCAAUGGUUAAAUUUGUUUAUCUUUGUUUUGUAAUAAUGAGGAACUAAACCCCCCUUGGCUAGGGGGGGAUUCAAAACCAUGUUUAUGCUUGCUAUAUGAUUUGAUUACUUCCAAUUGCGUUUCUUGAAUUGUGAAUUCAAUUUACUUAUCCGUUCGUAUAAAAACUAAUUUGUGUAUGUUGGUUGAGAGUGCACGCUUAAUUUUCAUGCAUGAAUUUGAUGCUAGAAUAUAAGGGAGUUUCACCUAAUCGUUAUGAACUUAUAUUCACAAGUAGUGAAGGUUGCUAGUCACAAUCACGUUAAGUAAAUUCUUGGCAUAAGUUUCAUGCAAAUCAUAGUAACGAGUGCCUCGUCAAUGCUUAUGUUUUUCAUAGAACUUAAUGAUUCUUGCUUGUAUCUCUAUUAUGCAAUUCAUGUAGGGAACUUGUAGGGAAUGUUUUGGGUUGUCGUAUGCAAUCAUCCAAUCUAAUAACUUGUUGAAAAACUGAGAGUUAAUUAGUGCAAUUCACGGUAAUUUGGGGCGUUGAGUAUUCAUAAUUUAUUGAAAUGCAAUUGGAAAUCGUUUUGUAUGCAAGUAUAACAUGUGUGGAGAUGAAACCCUUAGCUAGCCUUCCAUUAUCCAUUCAACCCAAAAUUGUUUAAAAUCUAUUUAAGUUUUUAGUUUAUUCGUUUUUACUUUCAACUUCACCAAACUCAAAUCCCCCUUUUACUUUCUUGUUUUAAAAUCUUUUGUUUACAUUUUUAACUUUGUUUCUUUUUGUUUUUGAGUCAGUUUAGAGGUUUUAGCAAGCCCUCCUAAUCCCCGGUUUAGAACGAUCCCUACUUACAUACUUUGCUACAAUUGUCAAAAGAGGGUUUAAUUUGUGUGUCAAGUAAUUCUCGCAUCAUUAAGUACAUUGCAUUCACGAUUCAUAGAAUCACAACUGGAAGUAAUCAAUUCAUAUUGUAAAUAUGUUCAUAGCUUUGAAUCCCCCCAUAGCUAAAACGAGUUUAGCUCCUCAUGUUCGCAAAACAAAGAUACUUAAACUUAAACAUUGUAAACAAAAGAUGGAUUACACCUAAGAAUGUUCCAGCAAUUCAACUUGAAUGGAAAGCACGUCCUAAGGUCCUCCUUCUUCUUCUUUGCUGGGCACAAGGUUUGGGUGAAGGUUUGAGUGAUGGAUUGUAUGAAGGGACGUGUGUUUAGAAUGGGAUGUGUUGGUCAAUACCUUAGAAGCUACGGCAAUGGCUUAUAUUUAUAGGAGAAGGGAAGGCAUGGCUAGGAAUUAAAUUGGGAAGGAUUUAAUACUCCAAAUCCUCCAAGAAAAAGGUAACAAGACAUAAUCCCAAGAGGAAAAGGGAAUGUAGGAUGCGGCAAGGAAAAAGGGAAAGGGGAAUCCUUUGCCGUGCAAGGGAAAGGGAGAUUUGGUGCGGCAUCCCUCUUUGACUAGGAUUAAGUCUUCUAGAAUCAUUUAUUUAGUGUCCUAGAAUAAUUAGAGAUCUUCCUUACAGCUGGAAAUUAAGUGGUGAAGGAUCAGGAAAAUUUAGGACAAAAUAAGGUAACUUUGGCUAACAUUCAUUCUUUCUUGCUUGCAUCCUUUACUUCAUUUUCUUGAAUUAAUUUCUUCAUAUCUUUAGCAUAAUCCUAGCCUCUUUUGGUCUUUAAAUUCGUCCAUCCACCUUGCUCCAUGCAUGUGCUAUCCAUUCCAAGCCCAAAACUGCUUCAAAAGGCACCAAAAUGCACUUUCUUGCUACUUUAGCCCAUUGAACCUAUAAACACACGAAAAUAGCUUAAAAUACUAAAAUAACUAGGAACUAAUAACAUAAAUGCAAGAAAACAAGCUAACUAAGUUGCAUAAAUAUGCUCCUAUCAAAUUAGCCCACACUUAGCUUUUGCUAGUCCUCGAGCAAAACAAACAAAACACAACCUAGACCUUCCAACAUUUGCCUCAAGGAUUUCCAAUGAAACAUGACAUGACAUGUCAAAGAUGACCACUUACACAGAUUUUAGUCAUCCUUACCCUCGAGCACACACUUAAUCAUAGUCACCACUUACUAGCUCGCAUUUAAUCAAUUAAAACAACAUUUUGAAUGUAGUAACAUGUCUUAGAGAAUUCCCUUAAUUCUUCACCAGAUAUACUCUCUAUUUUCACACAGAUUUUCUGACUACACUCCCUAUACUAGGUAUAUGUGAGAAGAUUGAUGUAAACAUGUAGACUAGUACUCACAUAUGCUUUUAAACAAAGAAGGCAAUUUCUGGAAUUAUUAAUGCAUGUAUAUAUAUGAUCUCAUGAACGGAAUGCCACUACUUAGAAGCAAGAACCAGGGAUUCUAUAUGCUCACACCAAUUUCAAACUCCAUAGAUUGAAACACAUCACACCCAAGAUUGAAGUCUAAGGGUUGUAACGGGGCUAGGGUAUUGGCUAACAAAGAAAAGUAAGAAAAGACAAAUGUUCUUAAAGCAAUAGUGAGCAAAGUAAUGAAAUUGACACUUAGAAUUCACUUUUGAAUGCAAAAAUCCACUUUAAACACAAAGGGAAGAUUCACAAAACACUUAAGGCCAGAUUCAAACUUUUAGACCCUUUCAACAACCAACACUUGUGAGCUCAUUCUCACUUAUUUUCAACUAUUUUUCUUUUUUUUCACGUGUAUUUUUUUUUUUUCAAACCCGUGCCCUAUUGCUUUGGCACACAAAACACACUUUGAAAACCCUUCCCCCACACUUGUUUUUCUGCAUAAUGUUCAUAAAAAGGAAUUUCUUCUAAGUUAUGCUCCACUACACUUUAAGAACAAGGGUAUGGAUAGUCCUAUUCUAGGCUAGGUAGGGAUAAUGUGGCUAACAAAGAAAAUAGGCUAAACAAGGCUCAAAGGGGUUAAACCUACAAAACAAAUGCAUGGGAUGAAGGCUUUUUGGAUCUAGUGGUAACUACUAAAUAACUUCAUCUUGUUAUAUGUUAUGCACUCAAUUUUAAGCUUUGAAUGAAACGGGCAUGAGUUCUAGUAUUUGGAACUAAAAAUGAUGAAAACGCAUUCUAAGUAGCAACCAAGCAAUGAACUAAUGAGAUCAUGCAACGACUUUAGAAAACAAGGAUUCACAGAUUAAUAACUCUCCAAACAAGGAAUAGGCUCAAGUCUCUUAGGGUUGUAGCGUUAGUUUGAGUUCUUUCCUUCAAGCAUGUUACAAAAACUGAUUUUUUUUUCCUGUGUGAUUACAUGUUAAUUCAUAAACGUCAAUGAUAGGAGCAUAUUUAUGCAACUUAGUUAGUUUGUUCUUGUGCAUUUAUGACGUUAUUUCCUAGUUAUUUUAGUAUUUUAAGCUAUUUUCGUGUGUUUGCAGGUCCAAAGGGCUAAAGUAGCAAGAAAGUGCAUUUUGGUGCCUUUUGGAGCAGUUUUGGGCUUGGAAUGGAUAGCACAUACAUGGAGCAAGGUGGAUGGAUGAAUUUGAAGACCAAAAGAGGUUAAGAUUAUGCUGAAGUUAUGAAGAAAUUAAUUCAAGAAAAGGAUGUAAAGGAUGCAAGCAAGAAAGAAGGAAAGUUAUCCAUGUUUCCUUAUUUUGUCCUUAAACUUUCCUAAUCCUUUUCCCACCUAAUUUCCAGCUGCAAGGAGGAUCCUUAAUUAAAUUAGGACACCUAAAACCUGAUUUCUAGAAGGCCUUACCCAUUCCUACAUUGAUGCCGCACCAAAUCUGCAAGGAUCCUUCCUUGCCGCACAAGGAAACAGUUCCCUUUCCCUUUUCCCGACCACAUAUCUUCCUUCCUCUUUUCUUAAAGUUGUGCCGCACCCCACAUUCCCUUUCUUAAUGGAUUUUGACAUUUAUUUCCCUUUUCCCUUGCUAUGCAAGGGAUCCUUCUUUCCUAUUUUCCUUUCCUUUAUUUUCUGCCGCACCUUAGCCUUUAUUCCCUAGGGUUUUACAUAUUUUGGGAGUUAUAUAAGCCGUUGUCGUAGCCUUGGGGGGGAUCAUCAUAUCUUACAUCAUUCAUCACCACAGAGACAUACACCAACAUCCUUGCUGCAACUUACAAUCCAUCCAUUCACUACCAUACACAAUUUCAGCCAUUCUUUCAUACAAACCACCACUCAAACCUUCACCCAACCCUUGUGCCACAACAAAGAGAAGAAGGAGGACCAUUGGACGUGCUUGCCAUUCAAGUUGGAUUGCUGGAACGUUUUUAGGUGUUUUCAAUCUUUUGUUUUCAAUGUCUAAAUUUAUGUAUCUUUGUUUUGUGAACGUGAGGAGCUAAACCCCUUAUAGCUAGGGGGAAUUUCGAAACCAUGAUCAUAUUUGCAGUAUGAAUUGACUAAUUCCAGUUGUGAUUUCAUAAAGUGUGAAUGCAAGUUGCUUAAUUGUUUUAUUUAAAACUUAUUCUUGUAUGUUGAUUAAGGAGGCCUACUUAGUUUGCAUGCUUGAAUUUGAUGCUAGAAUAUAAGGGAGUUUCACAUAAUCGUUACAAACUUAUAUUCACAAGUAGUGAAGGUUGCUGGUCACUAUUGCGUUAAGUUAAAUUCCUAGCGUGAGUAUCAUGAUGUCAUAGUUACGAAUGCUUUGUCAAUGCUUAUGAUUUUCAUAGAACUUAAUGAUCUUUGAUUGUAUCUCUAUUAUGAUGUGCAUGUAGGGGACUAUUGAAGAAUGAUUUGGGUUGAUGAUGCGUAUCCCAUCCAAUUCAAUGACUUAAGGAAAAUCUGAGGGUUAAUUAGUGAUGGCACGGUUAAUCUGGGGCAUUGUCAUUCAUGGUUUAUCGAAAAAGCAACUGGAGAUUGAUUUGUAUGCAAGUGUGUCAUGUGUGGAGAAGGACCAUCUAGCUAGCCCAUCAUCCAUUUAAUUCACCAAAUUCAUCCAACUUUGUUUCAGUCUUUAAAUUACUUGUUUUUACUUUAAUUUCGUCCAAAACCCAAUCCCCUUUGCUUUAGUGUGUCAAAUUAGUUAGAAUAUGUCUUAGUUUGUGUUUUAAGUGUUUUGAGUCAUGUUAAAAUCAAUUUUCGUCCAUAGUCAUUCCUAGUGUCUAGUUUGAGUCUAUUUAGUUUUUUUAAGCUGUUUGAGUCUUUUAAGUUUGUUUCAAGUCUUUAGAGUCUAGUUAAGUGUUUUUAAGUUUGUUUUUGAGUUUUUGAGUCAGUUUAGAGUAGAUUAGCAAUCCCUUCUAAUCCCCGGUUUAGAACGAUCCAUACUUAUCCAUACUACAAUUGUCAACAAGAGGGUUUAAUUUGUGUGUUAAGUUAAUUUUCGCAUCAGUCAACUACAACCAAGUACUAACCAAAGAGUGUAUCAAACUUCCAUCCAUGUUUGUAACUUUCUUUAACAGUCAUGUAAUUAAAAAUCAAAUCCUCAUCAUUGUGUUGGAAGGUACCCUAAGACACAAACAAACACACAAAAACGACUCUUUUUGGGUUUUUCAAAACUUUUUCUAAUGUUUUUGUUAAAUUUUCAUAAUUUAUUUUCAAAACACACUAAAAACACUUAAAAACAGUGAGAAACAACUCUAAAAGUGAUAGGUGGUAAAAUCCAAUGAAAAUCAUGUGAAAAUAGCUUGUUUACCCCCCCACACUUAAAUCAAACAUUGUCCUCAAUGGUUCAAACAUAGAUUUACAUAUAAGCAAACAAACAAACAACGAGCAACCAUGGAAAAAUAAGUGCAGUAAAGAUAAGGGUUUAGGAACGCAAAUCUGGGUUUGGAGUGAGAAUUCCAACGUUCCCUAGUUGAAUGCAUGGGUUGCCUCCCAAGAAAUGCUUGCUUUAACGUCUUCCAGCCAGACGAAAGCUCCUCUUAAGUUCGAUUGGACCCCACGACAUGGAGGGGUAUUUCCUCCACCACAUGCUCCUUAAAAAGGUCGUAGUAAGGCUUCAAACGGUGCCCGUUCACUUUGAAUUCUUGGGCGGUCUUGAAACUUUAAAUUUGGACUGCACCAUAAGGAAAGACAUUAGUAAUAACAAAAGGACCAAUUCAUUUAGAACGCAACUUACCGGGAAACAAAUGAAGGUGGGAGUUGAAAAGUAACACUUUCUGCCCUAUUAAGAAUAUCUUGCUACAAAUCAUCUUGUCAUGGAAUGCCUUUGUCUUCUCUUUGAAAAUUCGAGCAUUCUCAUAAGCCUCGUGCCUAAUCUCUUCAAGUUCAUUCAAUUGAAGCUUUCUAUGAAUGCCAGCCACAUCUAUGUCCAUGUUGAAUGUUUUGAUAGCCCAAUGCGCCUUGUGCUCUAAUUCCACAGGAAGAUGGCAUGGUUUGCCAUAGAUGAGCUGAAAUGGGGACAUGCCAAUGGGUGUUUGUAGGCUAUACGAUACGCCCACAGUGCAUCAUCCAAACGCAAGCUCUAAUCUUUUCGAGUUGGUCCCACGGUCUUUUCCAAAAUUUGCUUGAUUUUUGAUGUGAAAAUUAACUUGACACACAAAUUAAACCCUAUUAAACAUGUAAUUGUAGUAUUAAGCAAGUAGGGAUUGUUCUAGACCAGGGAUUAACUAGGGCUACUAAUCUACACAAUUUAAACUUUAAAACAAUAAACCAGAUGAUGUGAAAAUUAACUCGACACACAAAUUAAACCCUAUUGAUUAUGUAAUUGUAGUAUUAAGCAAGUAGGGAUCGUUUUAAAUCGGGGAUUAACUAGGGCUGCUAAUCUACCUAAAUUAAAUUCUAAAACACUAAACUAGACGUAAAAAACACAAGACUAGACUCUAUAGACUCUAAACUGACCUAAAACACUCAAAUAAGCAAAACUAAGUUAAAAAGACUCAAAACAGGUUCUAAGGACUAUUUGGACGAAUUUAACACUAGUGAGACUCAAAACACUAAUUUGGACAUAUUGAAACACCUUUUUAACUAAUCUAAGACACUUAAUUGAAAGGGGGAUUGAUUUGGACGAAAUUAAUUAAAUCAAACAGAUUGUAAACUAAAGCAAACUAGAUAUGAAAUUAAGUGAAUUAAACGAUGAAAUAGGCUAGUUAGAGGAUCCUUCUCCACACAUAAACAUUUGUAACAUAAAUUGAUUUCCAGUAUUGUUUCUUUAAACCAUGAACGACAAUGCCCCAAAUUAAUCGUGAAUGCACAAAUUAACUCUCAGAUUUCCCUAAAUUCAUUGAAUUGAAUGGACAACGCAUCACAACCAAAUUAUUAUUCUCAAGUUCCCUAUAUGAACAACAUGAUAGAGAUACAUUCAAAGAUCAUUAAGUUCCAUAGAAAUCAUAAGCAUUGACAAGGCAAUUAUAACUAUGAACUGCAUGAUACUUUUGCUAAGAAUCUACUUAACACGAUUGUGACUAACAAUCUCCACUACUUGUAAUUAUAAGUUCCUAAUGAUUAGGUGAAAGUCCCUUACAAUUUAGCAUCAGAUUCAUGUAUGCAAACUAAGUAUGCAUCCUUAAUCAACACACAAGAAUAAGUUAUCAAUCAAAUAGAUAAGUAAAUCACAUUCAUGUUUUACGAAACAAUAACUGAAAGGAAUCAAUUCAUAUUAAACAUAUGUCCAUGGCUUUAAAUUCAACACUAACUAAUAAGAACUUAGUUACACAUGUUCACAACAAUUGAAAAGCAAAUUGAAAUAAACAUUGAAACUAAAACGAGGGAAGAAAGAACUCUUAGAACUCCCAAGGAUGCAGGUGGCUUGUGCACAAGGUCCUCUUUCAUCAAUGGAAUUCACAGCAAGGGUCCUUCUUCUCCAAAAGUGCAGCAAAGAGUUGCAGAAUGGUGAAUAUGGUGUGGCAAGUUGUGUUUCUGAAUGGUAGGGCGGGUGGUAACGAAUUUUGGCUAUAUAUAUAUAUAUAUAUAUAUACAGGCAUGGCACAAACCCUAGGGUAAUUAGUUUAGGUUUAGAACUUAGCAGAAAUCAAGGAUUAGGGCCUAAACGUGCGGCAAAAGUGUUUAAAUCCACCAAGAAAAAGGUUUGGCCAAAUUAAUUUCUGAAAAGGAUUUGCACAACCCAAAUCCAUAAAGAAUAAGGCUAACAAAAUCAGAAUCCAAGGGCAAUUGGGUGAGGAAAGGCACGACAAGAAUUGGAGGGAAAGGAAGAGGAGUGCAAGGCAAGGCAAAAGCCUUCUAGAAGGGAAUAGGCGCCACUUUCUUAGGGUUUCUAGAAACAAUGUGUUUUGUGGCAGAAAUUAGGACUUCUAGAAAGGAAUACUUCUAGAAAUUGCUUCUAGAAAUAGAUAUUUAGGUCCCCUUGCAGCUAGAAUUAAGGCAUGAUAAGAUUAGGAUAGGAUAAGAUAAGAUAUGGUUAGUUUGGAUAAGAUAAGGCUGGAUAAGGUUUUGGAUAAUGUUUCUUCUUUUGAGCUGAUUCCUUGUCUUCUUUGUCUUGAAUUUAAUUUCUUCAUCUCCUUAUCAGAUUCCUAGCCUUUUGAACUCCAAAAAUGUCUAUCCACCUUGGCCCAUACAUGUGCUAUCCACUUAAUGCCCAAAACUGCUAAAAAAUGCUCCAAAAUGCAAUUUCUUGCCAAUUUUGUCAUUUGGACCUACAAACACACGAAAAUAGCUUAAAUCACUAUAAUAAACACAAACUAAUUGCGAAAACGCAAGAAAAUAAGCUAACUAAAUCGCAUAAAUAUGCUCCUAUCAUCAGACUCUAUAGACUCAAAACUAACUUAAAACACUCAAAACAACAAAACUAAGUUAAAAAGACUCAAAACAAACUCUAGGGAGUUAUUUGGACGAAUUUAAGACUAGUAAGACUCAAAACAUUAAAUUGGACAGGUUUAAACACUUUUCUAACUAAUCUAACACACUUAAUUAAAGGGGGGAUUGACUUGGACGAAAUUAACUAAAACAAAUAACUUGCAAAAACAAAGCAAGGUAAAAACAAAUUUAGGUGAAUUCAAGGGUGAAAAGCUAGCUAGAGGAUUCUUCUCCACACAUGAAACAUAUGCAACAUAAAUUGAUUUUCAGUAUUGUUUCUUUAAACGAUGAACGACAAUGCCCCAAAUUAAUUGUGAAAAACACAAAUUAACUUUCAGAUUUUCCUAAGUUCAUUGAAUUGGAUGGAAUACGCAUCGGCAACCAAAUUAUUCUUCUCAAGUUGGUACUCAUGCCAUGGAUUUACCUAACACGAUUGUGACUAGCAACCUCCACUACUUGUAAAUAUAAGUUCAUAACGACUAGGUGAAACUCCUUUACACUUUAGCAUCAGAUUCAUGCAUGCAAAUUAAGUGUGCACCCCUAAUCAACAUACAUAAAUAAGUUCUCAAUCAAUCAGAUAAGUAAACCACAUUCAUGUUUUACGAAACAAAAACUGAAGGUAAUCAAUUCAUAUCAAACAUAUGUCCAUGGCUUCAAAUUCACCUCUAACUAAUAAGAAAAUUAGUUACACAUGUUCGUAACAAUUAAAAAGCAAUCUGAAAUAAACAUGGAAACAAAACAAAGGAAGAAAGAACUCUAGAAACUCCAAAGGAUGCAGGUAGGCUUGCGGCACACUCCUCCUUCUCCAAUGGAAGCCACGACAAGGCAUUGUCCUCUCUCCUCUGCGGCAAAAUAUGGAUUUUUGAAUGGGUGGUGGUGUAGAACGAAUUAUGGUGUGGUGGGUGGUGUUUUUGCCGCUGAAAGGGGUGUAGAAUUAUAUGGGGGGUGGUGGUGCGAAAUUAUGACUAAAAACACAUAUUUAUAGCCUACGGUUUUGACAAAUUCUGAUGGGAAAAGGCUUAGGAUUUUCGGCAAAGGCUUGGGCCUCAAUCUAAGGGGGAAAAGAACUAGGGUUUGUGCAGAUUUUAGGGUUUCUAGAAGGGUUUGGGGAGCCACUUUUGUAGGGAAUUCUAGAAACAAUGUUAUGUGGCUGAUUUCUAGAAGAACAAGGCCUAAAAACAUGCAGCACCAAUGUAGGAACAGAUAAGGCCUUCUGGAAAGGUUUCUAGGUGAUUUAAAUCAGAAAUUAACUCCCCUUGCAGUAGGAAUUAAGUUAGAAUAAGAUUAGGAUAGGAUAGGAUGAGAUAAGAUUAGUUACAGUUUGGAUAAGGUUUAGAUAAUUUUCCUUCUUUCUUGCUAAUUCCUUGUCUUCCAAGUCUUGAAAUAAUUUCUCCAGAUUUGUAGCACAUUCCUAGCCUCAUUUAAGAACCAAAAAUGUCCAUCCCUUGUGCUCCACAUGCAUGCAAUCCAAUUCAGCCUAAAAGUGCUAUAAAAAGUUUCAAAAUGCAUUUUCUUGCCAACUUUGCCAAUUAGACCUACAAACACACGAACAUAGCUUAAAUCACUAUAAUAAGCAUAAACUAACUAAGUAAAUGCAAGAAAACAUGCUAACUAAGUCGCAUAAAUAUGCUCCUAUCAAUUUCCCUGUUCGAAACCUCGGCUUGACCACUUGUUUGGGCGUGAUAAGGUAUUGCAACCUUAUGCGUGACAUUAUAUUUCUUGAGCAGUGCCUUGAUGGUUCGAUUGCAAAAAUGAGAACCUCAAUCACUUAUGAGAACUCUUGGCAUGCCAAACCUUGCAAAGAUGUUAGUUUUAAUGAAAUCUGCAACCACUUUAGAAUCAUUAGUACAGGUGGCUUUUGCUUCCACCCAUUUCGACACAUAAUCCACAACAAGCAAAAUAUAAAGGAAACCAUGUGAGGGAGGAAAAGGACCCAUGAAAUCAAUACCCCAAACAUAAAAAAUUUCGAUAGCGAGAAUGGAUGUUUGCGGCAUUUGGUCUCUUUGACCUAUAUUUCCUGUUCUUUGGCAAUGAUCACAAGUCAUACAAAAAGUUCUAGCAUCCUUAAAGACAUUAGGCCAAUAAAAUCCACAUUCUAAAAUCUUAUGUGCUGUGCGUUGUGUGCCAAAAUGACCACCACAUGCAUAUGUGUGACAAAAAGUUAAAAUUGAAUGAAAUUCGAACUCAUGCACACACCUACGCAUAAUCUGAUCAGAGCAAUAUUUCCACAAAUAUGGGUCAUCCCAAACAUAAAACCGUGCAUCCUUUAAUAGUUUAUCAUGUUGGUGCUUGUUUAGGUUGCUUGGAACUUGUUUAGACGCCAAAUAAUUCACCAAAUCUGCAUACCAUGGUUCACUUACCUUAACGGACAACAAUUGCUCAUCAAGGAACGUUUCUAGGAUAGGUAAUGACUCCUCAUUAUGCACCAAAUGGCUCAAGUGGUCUGCCACCAUGUUUUCACCCCCUUUCUUGUCCCUAAUUUCAAUAUCGAACUUUUGGAGAAGAAGCGUCCAGCGAAUAAACCUUGGUUUGGCUUCUUUCUUUGUGAGCAAAUACUUCAAAGCUGCAUGAUCAAUGUAAACAAUGACUUUAGUGCCAAUUAAAUAAGAACGAAAUUUAUCUAAUGCAAACACAACAUCAGGGAGUUCUUUUUCAGUGGUGGAGUAGUUUAAUUGAGCAUCAUUCAAGGUCCGGGAAGCAUAAUAGAUGACAUGUGGCUGUUUGUUCUUCCUUUGACCUAAAACAGCUCUAAUUGCAUAAUCUGAGGCAUUACACAUGAGCUCAAAAGGAAGACUCCAAUCUGGUAGAAUUAUGAUAGGGGCCGAAGUGAGCAAUUCCUUGAGGUGUUUGAAGGCCUUCUCACAUUCCUUGUUGAACUUGAAUGGCACUUUUUUGUUUUGAAAGAGACGACAAAUGGGCUAGGAAAUUUUGGAAAAAUCAUUGAUGAAUCGCUUAUAGAAUCCUGCAUGUCCAAGAAAAGAACGAACCUCUCUCACCGAAGUGGGAGAGGGUAAGUAGUGUACAAGAUCUAUUUUUGAUUUAUCAACCUCAAUUCCUUUUUCAGAGACUAUGUAACCCAAAACUAGGGCUGGAAAAAAAUCCCAAAAAUCCUAAACCGAACCAAAAAAUUCCCGAAACCGAACUGAAAAAAUCCGAAACCGAAAUUCCAGAAAAUUUCAGUACCCAAUACCGAACCGAUCCCAAAAUUUCGGUACGGGAAUCGGUCACAAGUUUUUGGGAUUUCGGUAAUCCCAAAACGAACCAAAAAUAUAUAUAUAUAUAUAUUAUUUAAUUUUUAAAUAUAUAUUUAGAAUUUUAAUAGUCGUUGGAUUCUGUUGAGAUUUGAUCUCAACUGUUGCAUAUAAAUUGUGUAUGAUUUAUCCUUCCUGGUGUGAAUGUAUAUAUGCGUGUCUAUGUGUGCAUGGGAAACAUGAAAAAGUUUGGCAUUUGGCAUUGUAAAUGACUAGGACAGAUAAGGAGGGGAAGGAGGAGUGAAAUGCACGUUAAUGACUAAUGGGAAUUUUGAUGCUCAAGUCCUCCAUGAAAUUUAAUAUGUGCACAAAUUAAAUUGUAAGUUACAGAUUAAAUUUAUUUUUAUUGCAACAAAUUGGUUUGGUUGUAUACUUGUAACUUACAAUGACCUAUGAAAUUUAUUAAGAAAAUUUAGUUUGUAAUAGAUUGGCAGCCCAAUAAAAAAAAGGUUGAAUUUUAGCCUAAAACAUAAUAUGUCAAAUUUUAGUCCAAAAGCCCAAAAGCCCAAAAUCAUUUUGGGAUUCCUGAAAAUUAGGAUUCCCGAAAAAUUGGUUUGGGAUCAGUAUUGAAUUUUGAAUUCUUGAAAAUUUUGGUUUGGGAAUCAGGACACGGGUUUCGGUUUGGUAUCCCAUACUGAACCACCCCUACCCAAAACUAUGCCUUGUUUUACCAUGAAAUGACAUUUCUCCCAAUUUAGAACAAGGUUAGUUUCAACGCAUCGUUUCAAGAUUAAGGUAAGAUUAUCCAAGGAAGCAUCAAAUGACUUACCAAAAACAUUAAAAUCAUCAAUGAAUACUUCAAUGAUCUUUUCAACAUAAUCUGAAAAAUACUUACCAUGAAUCUUUGAAAUGUGGCUGGUGCAUUAUAUAAACCGAAUGACAUUCGAUGAUAAGCAAAAUUACCAAAUGGGCAAGUGAAAGUGGUCUUUUCUUAAUCUUCCGGAGCUAUUACAAUCUGAUUAUAACCUGAAUAACCAUCAAGAAAACAAUAAAGUGCAUAACUAGUUAACCUUUCAAGCAUUUGAUCAAUGAAUGGCAAAGGGAAAUGACCCUUCCUUGUGGUGGCGUUGAGCUUUUCAUUCUUUUGGAUACGUGUUCUUGGGAACAACUUGUACCGGUGAAACCCACCGACUAUCAGAGAUUGGAUAGAUCACUCCAUAAUCAAGUAGCUUGAUAAUCUCCUUUUUGACUACUUUCAUUAUUUGAGGGUUGAGUCGGCGUUGAGCUUCUCGGGAUAGUUUAGCCCCCUCCUCCAAGAGUAUACGAUGCAUGCAAGUUGUAGGACUUAUACCCUUGAUGUCGGCCAAUGUCCAUCCAAUGGCUGUUUUGUAUUCAUUCAACAUCCUCACCAACUUUUCUUCUUCUUGUGCCGUGAGUGAGGAAGAAACUAUGACAGGCAAAGUUUCUUGGUCUCCCAAGAAAACAUACUUCAAAUGGCUUGGUAAUGGUUUAAGUUCGAGGGAGGGUGCCUGAAUUACUGAGGGUAGCAUUUUAUUAGUAGAAACUGAACUUGAAAUUGGAAUAAAAAACUUACCAUUUUGUUGUGGCAAUGACUCUAGGGCAGCCACCAUCUCAACUACUUCUUCACUAGGGUGCACGACAUGGAUGUCUUCAUGCUUGCCAUGGGUGAGCAUUGAUUCUGCCCAUUGGUUUUUAGGCCCAUUCCUUUUGUAAUGGUUGUUUCAAGGGCAUCCUCAUUCAAAUCUUCAAAGGAUUGUUGCGCCAAUGAAUCAAUUAUAUCAAUAGAAAAACAAGAAUGAUCAUCACUAGGGUACUUUAUAGUUUCAGAAAGAUUGAAAUCAAUAACAUCCCUAUCAAAUUCCAUGGAUAAUUUUCGCAUCAAUUAGUGGUAUUCAACAAAAUCAAGGAGAAUCCUUCCCUGCGUACUAUGAAUGUUUUUAAGGUCUUAUUGCUUCAUGUCCUCAACACCAAAUGAAGGAAGAGUUGCUCAUUCAAUACUUUUACGAAGGACUACUUCCUAUUGAACGCCAAAUGUUAGAUGCCUCAGUGAGAGGUGCAUUGGUUGAUAAGACACCCAUGGCAGCCAAACUUUGAUUGCUAACCGAACAUUAAACGCUCAACAAUAUGAUGGAGUUGGGCAGAGAGACCUCCCACGACAGCAAGUAAAUGAGGUAAGUUCCAUUUCUGAUUUGCAAUCUCAAAUAACUAACCUUACUUCUAUGUUUUCACAGUUUAUGGAAUGAUGCAAAACGCAAGGAAUUUCCCUAAGUGUGUGUGGCGUAUGCUCAAUUCAAGGCCACCCAUUUGAGAAAUGUCUCAAUUGAUUGAGAACGGUGGAUGGGAAAGUGCAAACGCCAUUGGCUACCAAGGCCCGAAUCAGCCCCGAUCCAUAUGCCAACACUUACAAUUCGGGAUGGCGUGAUCACCCAAAUUUCAAAUGGAAUGAGUCACAACAACUUGCCCAACAAAGAGGAUUUCGGUCACAACCCCCUGGGAUAUACCUAAGGCCCUACGCACCAGCACAACCUCAACCACAACUUGCCCGAACUAAUUCAGGUACAUUCAUGGAUAAUGAUCAAAUUGUUCAAUUACUAACCUCUUUGGUGCAGGGGUAGCAAAACCAAAACAAAACAAUGCUCAAUCAAGUUAAGGAGGUGGAUGAGUUGAAGAAACAAAUGGGCCAAAUGACAGAGUUCAUGGGGCAAUUCAAAGAGCAAGGCAAACAGCCUAGCACAACCGUUGUGAAUCCAAGGGGAGAAUUGAAUCAGCCAAGGCCAUUACGUUGAGAAGUGGAAAAGAAGUUGGAACGGACCCCCAACCAUCAAAAUCUGCCCAAAUGGAGGACGAGAAACUGCAAUAAGAGGAGGAUGUCCAACACAUACCCACGACAAGGAAGGAAACAACCUUGUCGUGCACUUCUAGCAUCCCUAAAUCGUCCACCAUAGGUAAGUUAGGUCCAAUUUCGGUUAAUUCUAACCCUAUUCCACCCAAUGUUCCUUUCCCUCGUAUACUCAUGAAAACAAAGAAGGAAGAAAGUGAAAAAGACAUUCUUGAAACAUUCAGAAAAGUACAAGUCAAUAUUCCCCUUCUUGAUGCAAUCAAACAAGUCCCCAAGUAUGCCAAGUUCUUGAAGGAGCUAUGCACCACAAGAAAGAGAAUUUUGAACAAGGAGGUGGUAAGAGUAGGUGAAAAUGUUUCAGCCGUUUUGCAACAUAAACUGCCCCCUAAAUGCAAAGAUCCGGGCAGUUUUACAAUUCCUUGUGUAAUAGGCAAUACUCGCUUUGAACAUGCCAUGUUAGACUUAGGUGCAUCCAUAAAUGUCAUGCCCUAUUCCAUUUAUGCAUCUAUGAACUUGGGUAAGCUGAAAAAUGAUGGGGUAAUUAUUCAAUUAGCCGAUAGAUCUAACGCAUAUCCAAAAGGAGUUUUGGAAGAUGUUUUAGUGCAGGUUAAUCACUUGAUCUUUCUGAAUGAUUUCUAUUUUUGAUUUAUCAACCUCUAUUCCCUUUGCUGAAACUAUGUGACCUAAAACUAUGCCUUGUUUAACCAUAAAGUAACAUUUUUCCCAAUUCAAAACAAGGUUAGUUUUAAUGCACCAUUUUAAGAUUAAAGUAAGAUUAUCUAAACAACCAUCAAACAACUCACUAAAGACACUAAAAUCAUCCAUGAAAACUUCAAUGAUCUUCUCAACAAAAUAUGAAAAUAUACUUAUCAUGCAUCUCUGGAAUGUGGCUGGUGCAUUACACAAACCGAAUGGCAUUCGACGAUAAGCGAAAGUACCAAAUGGACAAGUAAAAGUAGUAUUUUCUUGAUCAUCUGGAGCUAUAACAAUUUGAUUAUAUCCCGAAUAACCAUCAAGAAAGCAAUAAAAAGAAUGACCAGCUAACCUUUCAAGCAUUUGAUCAAUGAACGGCAAAGGGAAGUGAUAUUUUCUUGUGGUGGCGUUGAGCUUCCUAUAGUUAAUGCAAACUCUCCAACCGGUUUGGAUACGAGUGGGCACAAGUUCAUUCUUUGCAUUCUUCACCACUGUGACUCCUGAUUUCUUUGGUACAACUUGAACCAGUGAAAGCCAAUGACUAUCUGAGAUAGGGUAAAUGACUCCACAAUCAAGAAGCUUGAUAAUUUCCUUCUUCACAACUUCCAUCAUUGGAGGGUUAAGUCGACGUUGAGCCUCUCGAGUUGGUUUAGCCCCCAUCUCUAGAAGUUUGCGAUGUAUGCAAGUUGUAGGGCUAAUUCUCUUGAUGUCGGCCAAUGUCCAUCCAAUUGCCGUUUUGUGCUCUUUGAACACCUGAAUCAAUUUCUCCUCCUCCAUUGCCUUGAGUGAUGAGGAAACAAUGACGGGCAAUGUCUCGUUAUCUCCAAAAAAUACAUACUUUAAAUGGUCCGGCAAUGGUUUAAGCUCAAGGACGGGUGCCUGAAUCACGGAAGGUAACAACUUGUUAGUAGAAACGGGAAUUUGAAUUGGGAUUGGAGGCUUACCAAGAUGUUGUGGCAAUGACUCAAGGGCAGCAACCAUCUCUCCUAUUUUUGCACUAGGGGGCACGGCAAGGAUCUCCCUAUCCAUGCCGUGAGGGUGCUUGAAAUCUGCCCAUUUGUUUUGAAGUCCAAUUCCUUGUGCAAUUGUUGUUUCAAGGGCAUCCUCAUUCAAGGAGUCAAGGUAAUCCUGCGCCAAAGCAUUAAAUACAUCAAUAGAGAAACAAGAAUGAUCAUCCUUAGGAUAUUUUAUAGAUUCAGAAAUAUUGAAAUCAAUAACAUCCCCAUCAAAUUCCAUUGUUAAUGUCCCUUUAAACACAUCUAUCUUGGUGCGGGCUAUUUUCAUGAAGGGUCUUCCAAGGAGGAUCGUCAAGGGUAUAGAAUGGGCUGAAUCUUCCAUCUCAAGCACGUAGAAGUCCGCUGGAAAUACUAAGUCAUUAACCUGCACCAAAACAUCUUCCAAAACCCCUUUUGGAUAUGCAUUAGAACGAUCGGCUAAUUGAAUGAUAACACCAUCGUUUUUAAGAUCUCCUAGGUUCAUAGAUGCAUAAAUAGAGUACGACAUGACGUUAAUGGAUGCACCUAGAUCUAACAUAGCAUGCUCAAACUUGGUAUUAACAAUAACACAAGGAAUUGUAAAACUACCUGGAUCUUUGCAUUUUGGUGGUAGUUUUCCUUGCAAAACGGCUUAAAUAUUCUCACUUACCUUUACAACUUCUUUGUUUUAAAUCCUCUUCCUUGUUGUACAAAGUUCCUUCAAAAACUUAGCAUACCUUGGAACUUGUUUGAUUGCAUCGAGGAGUGGAAUAUUCACUUGCACCUUCCUAAACAUCUCAAGAAUAUCAUUCUCAUUCUCUUCCUUCUUUGAUUGCUUGCAUCUGCGAGGGAAUGGUGCAUUGGGUGGAAUAGGGUUAGAAUGGGUCAAAUUGAAUCACCCUUACCGGAAUUGGAUGGCUUAGGUUGAUAGGAGCAUAUUUAUGCGACUUAAUUGGCUUGUUCUCGUGCUUUUACGUUGUGUUUCUUUAGUUAUUUCAGUGUUUAAAGUCACUUUUGUGUGUUUUCAGAUUCUAAGGCCAAAGUGUGCAAAAUGAUGUAAUUUGGAGCCUUUUGGAGCAAAAGGAAUGGAUGAAUUGAAGACUUGAAGAAAUUAGGUUUCCUAAUCAACGAAGGAUUCCUAAUUGACAAAGGAUUCCUAAUCAACGAAGGAUUACUAAUUGAAGAUGGAUUCCUAAUCACAUGAGGAUUCCUAGAAGAACAAGGAUUCCUACUUGAAGUAGGAAAGUUAAGCCAAGAUUUCCUAUUUUGGUUUGACCUUUCCUAAUUCUAAAAGUCCUUAUGUUCUAGCCACUUUGAAGACUUCAUAUGCACUUAAGGACACAAAACAAAGGCCCUAGAACCCUUAGUGACCCUUGCCGCACACACCUUGCCCAUUCCUCUUCCUUACCGUGCAAGGGAGAGGGUUGUUUCCUGAUUCUUUGCAUUUAAACACAUUCCUAAUCUAUUUUAACACCUUGCCGCACCUUUUAGCCUAGUUCCUUUAAAUUUCUGAUUUGAUUUCCUAAUUCUAGAAGCUUUAGACUUAAUUUCUGUUUACCUAAUUAACCUAGGGUUUUAUUUCCUAAAUCCCUUUAAAUAUACUUCCUUUUUGCAGCCACAAUUCAGCCAUUCACUCCCAUUCACGCCAGAAUUCAUUCACCCAUCCUUGCCGCACCCAUCCUUCACCAUUCGCCAUAGUUUUUGACCCCAAACACUCCUAGCCGCACCAUACAUCCAUCCUAAACACCAUUCCACCCUUCUACACCAUCCAUAACCCCCAAAACUCACCACCAAACCACUUGUGUGCCGCAACAAGAAGGAAGAAGGAAGGACCCUUGGAUGUCUAAGCUUCAUUGUUGGUGCAUUCUAGGUGUAAUUCGUUUUAUGAUUUCAAUGUGUAAUUUCUUUUCUUUUCGUUUUGCUAUGAACAUGAGUAGCUAAACCCCUAUUGGUAAGGGGUGAUUUCAAAGCCAUGACUAUGUGUGCAAUUUGAUUUGAUAAAUUCCAGUUAUGAAUUCUUGAAUCGUGAAUGCAAUUGGCUUAACUAUUUGAUUAAUAACUUAUUUGUGUUUGUUAAUUAGGGGUCGACACUUAAUUGACAUGCAUAAAUCUGGUGCUAGAGUAUAAGGAUGUUUCACAUAAUCGUUACAAACUUAUAUUCAUAUGUAGUGAAGGUUGCUAGUCACAAUCGCGUUAAGUUCAAUUCCUAGCAUGAGUGACAUGAUGUUAUAGUUGCAAGUGCUUUGUCAUUGCUUAUGGUUUUCAUUGAACGUAAUGAUCUUUGAUCGUAUCUCUAUUAUGAUGUCAUGUAGGGGACGUUUGAAGAAUGCUUUGGGUUGUCGAAUGAUGCCAUCCAAUCCAAUAAUACAAGGAAAAUCUGAGAGUUAGCUAGUGAUGUCACGGUUAAUUUGGGGCAAUGUCGUUCAUAAUUCUAUGAAGGAAUAACUGGAAAUCGAGUCGUUUGCAUACGUGUCAUGUGUGGAGAAAGAGCCUCUAACUAAUCCAUCAUCCAUUUAAACUCCCAAUUCGUUUUACAAUCUGUUUUAAUUACAACGUUUUGUCUUGUUUUCAAUUUCGUCAAAACCAAAUCCCCCUUUAUUUUAAAGUGUUAGAUUAGUUAGAAAUCCAUUUAGUUUGUGUUUUUAAGUGUUUUGAUUCAAGUUGUAACCCAAUUUCGUCCAAAUUUGUGUUUGUGUUCAAAAUUGUCCAGAAAGUGUUUUUAAGGCAGUUUUGAGUGUUUGGUUGCUGUUUUGAGUCUUUUGGUUUGUUUUAGUGUUUUAAAUUUUAGUUUUGCAUUCUUUGAGUCUAGUUUAGUGUUUUAAACUUUGUUUUUACGUUUUUAAGUCAGUUUUCAAGUGUUUAGCAAUCCCUCAUAAUCCUCGGUUUAGAACGAUCCCUACUUACAUACUUUGCUAGAAUUGAUAAAAAGAGGGUUUAAUUUGUGUGUUUAGUUAUUUUACGCAUCAUAGGUGCAUUAGGUGGCUGUGGCAAGGAUGAUUCUUUCCUUGCUGUGGCUUUGUCCAUCUCCUCCUCUUCAAUCAGCAACUUUUCAUCGUCUUUUGAACUUGGUGAUAGGAACAUUUUUAUACAACUUAAUUGGCUUGUUCUUGUGCAUUUACGUUGUGUUUCCUUAGUUAUUUUAGUGUUUAAAGUCAUUUUCGUGUGUUUUCAGAUUCUAAGGACAAAGUAUGCAAGAAGAUGCAUUUUGGAGCCUUUUAGAGCAAAAUUGGGCUUGGAAUGGUUAUCACAUGCUUGGAGCAAAAGGAAUGGACGAAAUUGAAGAUUUGAAGAAGUAAGGAUUCCUAAUCAACGAAGGAUUCCUAAUUGAAGAUGGAUUCCUACUCAAAUGAGGAUUCCUACUCCAACAAGGAUUCCUACUUGAAGUAGGAAAGUUGAGCCAAGGUUUCUUAUUUUGGUUUGACCUUUCCUAAAUCCUAAUUGUCCCUAUGUUCCAGCAACUUUGAAGGCCUUUUAAGCAUUCUAGGACACAAAUUACACAUUCCUUGCAUGGUCCAAUUCCUUGCCGCACUUGUCCCACUUUCCUUUUCCCUUGCCGUGCAAGGGAACCUAUUUCCCUUCAGUUUUAGGACACUUUGCCUUCCCUAAAACACAUGCCGCAACCUCCUUGCCCUUUCCUCUUCCUUGCCGUGCAAGGGAGAGGGUUAUUUCCUAUUUCCUUGCAUUAAAACACAUUCCUAUUGUGUUUUAAUGCCUUGCCGCACCUCUUAGCCUUUUUCCUUAAGUUUUCUGAUUUUAUUUCCUAUUUCUAGAAGCCUUGGACUUAAUUUCUAUGAACCUAAAUAACCUAGGGUUUUAAUUCCUAAAACCUUUAAAUAAACUUCCUUUUUGCAGCCACAAAUCAUCCAUUCAUUCACCUAUUCACGCCAGAAAUCUAUCCCCACUCUCUGCCACAUCCAUCAUUCACUAUUCGUCCUACUUUCUGACCUAAAACAACCUCUGCUGCACCAUACACCUAGCCUAACCAUAAACCCAUCAUUCUACAGCAUCCAUAACCCCCUAAACUCACCACCAAACCUUGUGCCGCAGCAAAGGAAGGGAAGAAGAAGUGCUUGAAUGUUCUUGCUGUUCAAUUUGGAUCGUCGGAGCGUUUAGGUGUUUUCUUUUGUUUACAAUGUAUAAAUCUGUUUUCCUUUGUUUUGGGAACAUGAGGAACAAAGCCUUCUUGGCUAGGGGGCUAUUCAAAACCAUGAUUAUACUUGCAUAAUGAAUUGAUUACCUUCAAUUGUUAUUUCAUAAGUUAUGAAUUCAAUUUGCUUAAUUGUUUGAUUGAUACCCUAUUCUUGUAUGUUUAUUAAGAGUGCACGCUUAGUUUUCAUGCAUGGAUUUGAAGCUAAAAUAUAAGGGAGUUUCACCUAAUAGUUACAAACUUAUAUUUACAAGUAGUGAAGGUUGCUUAUAAACGAUCGCGUUAAGUGAAUUCUUAACAAGAGUAUCAUGCUCAUGAUAGUUCGAAUGCCUCGUCAAAAUGAUGUGAAAAAUAAGUUAACACACAAAAUUAAACCCUCUUUUUAUCAAUUGUAGCAAAGUAUGUAAAUAGGGAUCGUUCUAGACCGGGGAUUAUGAGGGAUUGCUAAACACUUGAAAACUGACUUAGAAAUGUAAAAACAAAGUUUAAAGCACUAGAUUAGACUCAAAGAAUGCAAAACUCACGUUUAAAAUACUAAAACAAACCAAAAACUCAAAACAGCAAUCAAAAGAUUCACAACUGCCUUAAAAACACUUUCUGGGCAGUUUUGAACACAAAGCAUCAAAUUGGACGAAUUUGGGUUUUAACUUGUACCAAAACACUUAAAAACAUAAACCAACACACUUUCCAAUUAAUCUAGGAAUUCAAAAUAAUUGGGGAAUUGAUUUGGACGAAAAUAAACUUAAAUGGCAGAUUGUAAGAGAAACAGAUUGUAAUACAAAGUUAUGAAGAAUCAAUGGAUGAUGGAAUGGCUAAGGGGUUCUUCUCCACACAUGAAAUAUAUGCAACCUAAAUCGAUUUCCAGUUAUCAAUUGAAUAAGUUAUGAAUCUCGACACUCCAAGUUAAUUAGGUCCGCUUAAAUUAACCUUCAGAUUUCCCUAGAAUCAUUGAAUUGGAUGAAUAUGCAUCGUAAACAAAUUAUUCCUAACAAGUUCUUUAUAUGAACAGCAUGAUAAAGACACAAGUUAGAAUCAUUACGUUCUUUGGAAAUCAUAAGCGUCGACAAGGCAUUCGUAACUAUGAAAAGCAUGAUACUCUUGCCAGGAAUCUACUUAACACGAUCGUGACUAGCGACCUUCACUACUUACGAAUAUAAAUUCAUAACGAUUAGGUGAAACAAAUUUAUAUCCUAGCAUCAAAUUCAAGCAUGCAAAUUAAGCGUGCACUCUCAACCAACAUACAAGAAUAAGUUCUAAAUCAAACGGUUAAGCAAAUUGUAUUCACAACUUAUACAACGAUAACUGAAAGUAAUCAACUUAGUUCACAUAUAUAAUCUUGGUUUUGAAUCCACCCUUAGCCAAAACAAAUUUAGCCAAUCAUACUUAAAGCAAAACAAAGAUUAUAUAAAUUAGACAUUGAAAUAUAAGAUAGAAAACACCUAAAAUCGUUUAACAACUCAGAAUGAAGAGCCAAACAAUCGUAGUGAAUCUGUCCCUGAUAGGAGCAUAUUUAUGCGCCUUAGUUAUUUAGUUCUUAUGCAUUUAUGUUGUGUUUUCUUAGUUAAGUUAGUCUUUUAAGCUAUUUUCAUGUGUUUUCAGGUUUUAAGGACAAAGUAAGCAAAAUGAUGCAAUUUGGAGCAUUUUGGAGCAAAAUUGGGCUAGAAUGAAGUUCAUGCACAUGAAGCACAAAGGAUGGACGAAUUUGAAGGAUUGAUGAAGCUAGGAAUGUAUUUUGAAGUUGAAGAAUUGAAGAUACAAAGUUUCCUAGUUGAAGUAGGAAAGGGCUUAAACGAAGGAUUCCUAAUCAAUGUAGGAGUCCUAAUUGAAGAUGGAUUCCUAGACGAAUGAAGUUUCCUACUCAAGCAAGGUUUCCUAUAUGAAGAAGAAGAGUUAAAGCCAAAGAAGCAGCUCAAGAUAAGGAUCUUAUCCAAAACCUCAUCCAUAACCUUAUCUUAGCUUAUCUUAUCCAAACAAACCUUAUCCUAUCCUAUCUUAUCCUAAUCCAAAACUAUCCACAUCUCAGCCACUUAGGAGGGUUUCUAACUAGAUUAGGAUGCUUAAAAUGGGAUUUCUAGAAGACCUAAUCUUAUCCUACAAAAAUGGCGCCUAGGAGCCUUUCUAGAAGCCUAAAAAUCUGCCUUGUAUUUCUUUCUAGAAACUAUCCUUUUGCCAUGAGUUCUCACCCAUUUCCUUUGGGAUUUUGGUUUCUAGAAGCCUUAUCCUUUCACACUCUUUGUGCCGCACAUUAUCUCCCAUUCCUUUUGGGUUUUUGAAUUGUUUUCCUUAUAGGAUUGUAUGUUAUUAUCCUAUGCAGUUUAGGCCUUUAAAACCUUGUCCUUGGCUACCUAGGAGAUGGGAUUUUUAGCCUAUAAAUACAAGCUUAUGCCGCACCCUUUCACUCACCACCCUCUACCAUAUUUUCACUACAUCAUUCACCCAAAAACCCCUCAUUAUGCCGUGAGUUUGCAAGGAGAAGAAGAAAGGAAUCUGCAGCCGUGCAUGCCAUUCAAGGAGCUUGGAUUGUUGGAGCGAUUCUAGGUGUUUUCUAUCUUUAUGUUAAUGUUUAAAUUUAUUCAUCUUUGUUUAUUUGCGAACAUGAGGAACUAAUUUCUUUAUAGUUAGAGGGGAAUUCAAAGCCAUGAUCAUAUGUUUUAUAUGACUUGAUUACCUCCAGUUAUGAUUUCAUGAAUCGUGAAUGUGGUUAACUUAUCUAUUUGAUUGAUAACAUGUUUAUGUAUGUUAAUUAAGGAUGCAUACUUAAGUUCGCAUGCAUGAAUUUGACGCUAGAGUAUAAGGGAAUUUCACCUAAUCGUUAUUAACUUAUAUUCAUAAGUAGUAAAAGUCGCUAGUCACGAUUGUGUUAAGUAAAUCCUUGGCAAGAGUAACAUGCGUAUCCCAUAGUUAUGAAUGCCUCGUCAAUGCUUAUGAUUUCCAUUGAACUUAAUGAUCUUUGAUAUGUGUCUCUAUCAUGCGUAUUCCAUAGUUAGGGUCCUUGAUAAGAAUAAUUUGGUUGUAAUGCGUAUUCCAUUCAAUUCAAUGAAUCUAGGGAAAUCUGAGAAUUAAUUGGUGCAAUCUAGUUAAUUUGGGGCAUUGUCAUUCAUGGUUUGUUGAAAGAGUAACUGGAAAUCGAGUCGUAUGCAUAUGUUUCAUGUGUGGAGAAGGAACCUUCUAACUAGCCUUUCACCAUUCUAUUUCAUCAAAAUCGUUUUCAUUAAAGUUUGUUUUCAAAGUUUAUGUUUUAAAGUCCAAUUUCGUCAAAACCAAUCCCCUUACUUUUAAGUCUUGUUUUUAGAGUCAAAACUUGUUUCUUUUAAGUCUUUUGAGUCUUUGAAGUUCUAUUUGAUCUGAUAUUAACUAGCACUCAAAUUAAACCCUCUUUUUGUCAAAUUGUAGUAAAGAUGUAAGUAGGGAUCGUUCUAAACCGGGGAUUAGGAGGGAUUGCUAAACACUUGAAAACUGACUUAAAAACAUAAAAACAAAGUUUAAAACACUAAACUAGACUCAAAGAAUGCAAAACUAAAGGUUAAAACACUUAAACAAACCUAAAACUCAAAACAGCAACUAGAAGGCUCAAAACUGCCUAAAAACCACUUUCUGGGCAGUUUUGAGCACCUACACUAAUUUGGACGAAAUUUGAUGAAAACUUGAAUCAAAAUACUUAGAAACACAAAUCAAAACACUUUCUAACUAAUCUAAGACUUCAAAUUAAAGGGGGAUUUGUUUUGGACGAAAAUUUAACACAAAACAGAAACUUUAAACUAGCACAGAUUGUAAAACGAUUUUUGGUGAAAUAGGAUGGAUAAAAGGCUAGUUAGGAGGUUCUUCUCCACACAUGUCACACUUGCAAACAAAACGAUUUUCAGUUGUUCUUCCAAUAAAUUAUAAAUACUCAAUGCCCCAAAUUAACCGUGAAUUGCACUAAUUAACCCUCAGUUUUUCCACAAUUUAUCAAGUUGGAUGAUUGCAUACGACAACCCAAAACAUUCCCUACAAGUUCCCUACAUGAAUUGCAUAAUAGAGAUACAAGCACGAAUCAUUAAGUUCUAUGAAAAACAUAAGCAUUGACGAAGCAUUCGUUACUAUGAAUUGCAUGAAAACUUAUGCUAAGAAUUCAUUCAACGCGAUCGUUUUCAAGCGAUCCUUCACUACUUGUGAUUAUAAGAUUGUAAACUAUUAGGUGAAACUCCCUCAUAAUCUAGCAUCAUAUUCAUGCAUGAAAAACUAAGCGUGCACUCUCAAUCAACAUACACAAAUAAGUUAUCAAUCAAAUAGAUGAACGAAUUGAAUCCACAACUUAUGAAAUAACAACUGAAUGUAAUCGAAAUCAAAUUGCAAGCAUGUACAUGGUUUCGAAUUACCCCCCAACUAAGGGGGUUUAGUUCCUCAUACUCACAACACAAAGUUUAUUGAAUUGAAACAUCGAAGACAUAAGAAAGAUUACACCUAAAACGCCAAGAAUUCCACUUUGAAUUUCUGACUUCAAGCUCCUCUUUCUUCUUCUCCUUGCUGCGGCAGAGAGGGUUUAGGGUGUUUUGGAUGUGAUUUUUGGUUUAGAAGGGAAUUAGGAUGAUAUGGUGGUGCGGCAAGAGGUAUGGGUGGUGUAUGGAGUGUAGAAUGGUGUAUGGAGGUGUAGAAUGGUGGCUGGAGUUGUAGAAUGGUUGCGGCAAAGAGUGGGAAGUGGGCUGGACGAAUUUUCUGAAUUAUGGAGAGGGUGAUGUUCGGCCAAAGGCUGUAAAACACAUAUAUAUAGGCACCUAAACCCUAAAGAAAUCAGGUUAGACAAUGGGCUAGGGUUUAGGUGCGGCUAGGGUUAGAAAUCCACAAGGAAUUUAGGGUUUACAAUCAGAUUUUUUGCAUGGGAAAAGGCCUAGGGUGCGGCUUGGGCUUAGGGUAGAUAGAUUAGGGUUUAACUUGGCAGAAUUUAAAUGAUUAGGCCCUAGGGUGUGGCUGAUUAAAUGGGCUAGGAUUAGGGUUAAGGUGCGGCAUAGGUCCAAGAAGUGAGGAUGGGUCAUCCAAAAGCCCAAAGCCGAGAAUAGAAACUCACGAAAAUGGAAACCUCCAAGAUAGAAACUUCCAACUUUAGAAACUUUGGUUGCCAAUUCCGAUUUAGGAAAGAUCAACCCAAAAUGGAAACUUUUAGGCUUAGCUUUCCUACUUCAAGUAGGAAACCUCAAAUCUUCAACUCUUCAAUUCCAUCCCAUCCUUGUGUUCCAAGCAUGUCCUUUUCAAUUCAAGCUCACAUUUUGCUCCAAAAGCUCCAACUUGCAUCAUUUCAUGUAAUAUGUCCUUUAAACCUGAAAACACAUGAAAGUAGCUUAAAAGACUACUUUAACGAAGAAAACAUAACAAAGAUGCAUAAGAACUAGCUAACUAAGGCGCAUAAAUAUGCUCCUAUCAAAUUCCCCCACACUUAGCUUUUGCUAGUCCUCGAGCAAAACAAACAAAAGAAAGGAAACAAAACGAAACAAACUUAACCAAAACAAACCUAAACCUUCCAACGUUUGCCUCAGGGAUUUCCAAUGCACAUGACAUGUUAAAGAUUGUUAUCCCCACAGAUUUGAGUCAUCUUUACACAAGCACAUACUUAAUUAAAGCCACCACUUACUAGUUCACAAGUAAUCAAUUAAAACAAUGCUUUGAAUGUAGUAACAUGCCUUAGAGAAUUCCCUCAAUUCCUUACAAGAUAUACACUCUAUUUUCACUCAGAUUUUCUAACUCCACACCCUACACUAGUCAUAUGUGAGAAGAUUGAUGUAGAUAUGAAAACGAAUGCUCACAUAUAUGUAUCACAAAGAACGCAAUUUCUAGAGUUUAAGAAGCAUGUUUAGAUAUGAUCUCAUGAAUGGGAAUGCUACUACUUAGAUGCGAGAACCAGUGACACCAUAUGCUCAUACCAAAUUCAAACUCCACAAAUUGAAACACAUAACACUCAAGAUAGAAGUUAAGGGUUGUAACGGGGCUUGGGGUAUUGGUUAACAAAGGAAAGGAUAGGGAAAACAAACGUUCUUCAAGCAAUAGUAAGCAAAGCAAUGAAAUUGAGACUUAGAAUUCACUUAGAUUGCAGAAAUUAACUUUAAAACACAAGGGGAAAGACUUAAACAACUCUUAGGGCCGAAUUCAUUGUUUGGACCCUUACUUCAACAAACAAUACUUUGAACUCUUUUUCUCACUUUUCAACUCUUUUUUUCAACUUUUCACACUUUUUUUCUUCAUUUUUUCUUUUUCCACGAAUUUUUUUCUUUUCUUUUCUUUCCACACGUGCCUAUGGCACACAAUUCCUCAUGAAAAAUACUUCCCCCACACUUGGUUUCUGCCAACAUAGAUCAAAAGGAAUUCAAUUCGAAUCAUGCUUUACUAUGCUUUAAGAACAAGGGUUUAGAUGGUCCUAAACUAGGCUAGGUGAGGAAAACAUGGGUUAACAAAUAACGAAGGCUAAACAAGGCUCAAUGGGGUUAAAACCUUAAACAUACAAUGACAUAGGGCACACGGCUUUUUGGCUAAGGUGGUGGUCACUACACAACUUCAUCUUGAAUAUGUGUUAUGCAAAUCAAUAACAUGCUUUGAAUGAAAUGGGCAUGAGUUCUAGCAUUUGGAACUAAAUGAUGAAACGCCUUCUAAGUAGCAACCAAGCAAGGAAUAAUGAGAUCAUGGCAACGACUUAGAAAACAAAGAAUGCACAGAUUUUAACUCUCCAAAUAAACAUUUAGGCUCAAGUCUCACAAGGUUGUAGCGUUAGUUUGAGUUCCUUCCUUCAAGCAUGUUACAAAAACUGAUUUUUUCUUUUAUGAUUGCAUGUGAAUUCAUAAGUUAUAACCACAACUAAGCAUAACAAAGAGUAAAUCAAAACUUUCAUCCAUGUUAAUCACUCUCUUUAACAGUCAUGUAAUUACAAAACCGAAUCCUCAUCAUUGUGUUGGAAGGUACCCUAAGACACAAACAAACACACAAAAACAACUCUUUUUGGGUUUUUAUAAACAAAUUUUUUCAAAUUUUUAUGUGAUUUUCGGAUUUUUACUUCAAAAACACACUAAAACACAUCAAAACUGCUCAAAAAACACUUAAAAACAGCAAGGAACAAGUCUUCAAGUUUAAGGGUGAUAAAAUCCCACGAAUUUGCAUCUAAAACACUUAGUUACCCCCCACACUUAAAUCAAACAUUGUCCUCAAUGUUUCAAGCAUAAAAUCACACUAAACAAAAAGAAACACACAACAGCAACUAAAACAACUAAAUAGGCAGAUUCGAAAUAAAUAACAAAGUGAAGAGUUUAGGAACGCAAAUCUGGAAUUGGAGUGAUUCCGUUGGUCUUCCUUUGUUGAUUUGCAUGGGUUGCCUCCCAAGUAGCGCUUUCUUUAACGUCGUACAGCCGGACGAAAAGCCCAUUCAUUCUCCAUUUGU